UACAAUGUUUUGACUCUUCGUCUUAUUUAAAAAUUUUUUACGAUUAAUAUUUAUUUAUUUACUAAAUGAUAAAACAUGAAUAGUACUUUAUGCGUGACUAAUUUUUUUAGGUUUUUGCACAAAUCUUUCAAAUAAGAAAGACGAAUGGUCAAACGUUGGGUAUGGAAA
This 168-nucleotide microRNA precursor is filed under the name Oryza brachyantha (malo sina). Its description in RNAcentral is "MIR812 microRNA precursor family". It matches the Rfam family "MIR812 microRNA precursor family", at positions 27 to 187 of the family's 205-position model. Lineage: Eukaryota; Viridiplantae; Streptophyta; Magnoliopsida; Poales; Poaceae. The record is from Rfam by way of RNAcentral.